CCUGUCAGGGUAUAUAUAAUAAAUGUCGAGACAAUGUUAUAAACUUAAAAUUUCAAUAAGAAGCCGUUGCCCAAUUUCAUCAGAAAUUUAGAAUUCUGCGAGUGUGUGACGCCGACGCCGAAGUGCAUGAGUGUUAGUGCCCAAAUUCAUUAGAAAUUUAGAAUUCUGCAAGUGUGUGAGACCGACGCCGAGUGUCAGACAGGCGCCGAAGUGCAUGAGUGUUAGUGCCCAAACUCAUCAGAAAUUUAUAAUUCUGCGAGUGUGUGAGACCGACGCCGAGUGUCGAUGUAAGACAGGCGCCGUAGUGCAUGGAUGUUAGUGCCCAAGUUCAUCAGAAAUUCGAAGUUCUGCUAAUGUGUGAGACAGACGCGUCUGGAAGUCGCGUUGGAAUAUUGUCAAGGAAAAUCGUUUAUGUUUCGUAUGUCUGAAAAAAGGGAAAAUUGUUCAGAAUUGCAAAGUUAAACAAAUUUGCCCGUUUGAAAGUUGCCAACAUUUGCAUCAUAGUAGUAUUUAUAAUGUUCCACAAAUUCAAAAUCUACCAAUCACAGAUCCUACGUCUUUACUAAAUUGCUGCGGCGAAGUGACUAGCUCGAGCCCAUACCUCUUCAAGGUGAUUCCCGUCGUAUUAUAUGGAAACAACGGAAAAAUAGAAACUUAUGCAAUGUUCGAUGACGGAAGCUCAGUUACCUUGUUGGAGGAAAGUAUUGCUGACCAAUUAGGACUAGAAGGCCAAAGAAGUCCAUUAACCCUCCAGUGGUACGAUAACAGAAAUAGUUUAGAAAUGUCUAAGAAGAUCAGAUUUAAGAUUACUGGCAUGAAUGAUCAUGUGCGAUACGACUUAAAGAAUGUACAAACUGUAAGGAGUCUUGAUUUGCCAACCUAGUCGCUUGCAAAGAAUCAGCACAAUCAUUUCGCUAAUGUACCAAUAUUGGAUUACACUGACGCUAAACCAGUUCUGCUCAUUGGACUUGACAACCUACAUUUAGGUCUUCCGAAAAGGAUAGUGGAAACAGGAAGCUCACAACCAGUAGCCAUUGAUACAAAACUAGGAUGGCUGGCAUAUGGUCCAAAUUCAAAGUUUGAAAGAAUCAGAGCUUCAUUAAAAUCCCGUGUGUGUUUUUUAAUGGAUGAAAAUAAAUGGCAAGAUCUAGUGACUGAGUUUGUAGAAUCCGAGAACUUCGGUAUGAGUAACUUACCACCCAUAGAACCAAUUGAUGAUGAAAGAGCCAAGGAACUGAUGAUGAAAAAAACCAUUCGGACUGGAAAACAGUUUGUAAUCGGAUUGCCAUGGAAGGAAAAUGUAAGAAUGCCGGAUAGUUAGGUGAUGGCUAAGAAAAGAUUGUACGGAAUUGAAAAGAAGAUGCACGCUGAUCAAGAAUUUGCUAAAAAAUACAGAGCAGAGAUAACUAAAUAUGUCGAGAAGGGUUAUGCUCGCGAACUAAGUUACCCGGAAAUUAUCGACACAUCCAAACCCGUCUGGUACAUUCCGCACUUUACAGUACAGUCGUAUCACAAACCAGUUAAAAUGCACAUCGUUUUCAACGCAGCUGCUGAAGUCGAAGGUAUUUCGCUUAAUAAAGCACUACUUAAAGGCCCUGACAAUUUAAAGCCACUCUUAUCAAUUCUUAUGCAAUUUAGGCAAAAUAAAAUAGUUGUAACUGCAGAUAUUCGAGAAAAGUUUUUGCAGAUACAGAUAAACGAAAACAAACAGAGCGCCCAGCGGUUUUUGUGGCGAAAUGGAGACAUAAGUCAACCGAUUAGACACUACGCCAUGACGUCCUUAAUUUUGCCAUUCUGUGCAAAUUAUGUCUAGAAUCUAAACUCAGAAGACUUUAAAGAUUGAUUUCCAAGGGCAACGCAAGCAAUUGUUGAACACCAUUAUGUAGACGACCUUGUCAUGAUUUUUACAUCUUAAGAAGAGGCAAUCGAGAUUUGUCAAGAGGUCGUAAAGGUGCAUUCAGAAGGAUGAUUUGAGCUGCGUAAUUUCUCCUCGAACUCGAAGAAAUUGCAGAAUAUCAUGAACAAUCAGCAGGUACAAAAAACUCACAAUCAUCUGCAAAGUCAGCUCGCAAGCGAGAAGGUCUUAGGCAUAUUUUGGAAUACACAGCUUGAUUUUUUCAAUUUGAGACCAAGUUCCAUCGCAUUCCACAGAACUUCUUAAAUGAAACUCGAGUCCGAAACUCGAGUGGCGUUUUUUGACCCGUUCGGGUUGAUUGCUGACUAUCAUAUUUCGCCAGAGCUGCAUACAAAGUAGAAACGUUGGUUGGCUGAAAUACAUAAUAUGCACAACUUUAAGGUUCGCCGAGUUUACUCUCCUAACUUACACUGCUGCGACCGAUUGGAGAUGCAUAUAUUCGUCGACACGAGUCAAGCAGCAAUUGCAACGGUUGCUUAUUUGCGCAUAGUUUGCCCUACCGUCGUCAACAUAGCCUUUGUCAUGGGAAAAACACGCCUGGCCCCGAAAAAACUGUUGUCUAUUCCUAGACUGGAGCUUCAAGCUGCAAUCCUUGGCAUUCGGGUAAGCCACCGGAUAACCGAAAUACUUUCAAAUUCAACACAGUCUCAAUGGAAUUGAGUACUAUCGUCCUGCAACACUGCUGAUGUCGCCACUCCGACUCCCCGAAAAUCGAUGGCCUGGGCUCAUGGAUACUCGGCCCGAGAUUUUCGGACAGGAAAGGAUCUGCAACUUUCAAAGAGUUAGUUGAUGCUGAAAUCGGAUGGUGCAACAAGAAGCCUUCCCCGAGGAAAUCAAGAACCUACGAAAUCAAGAUGAUUACGAAUGAUUGGCAUUCGGGUAAGCCACCGGAUAACCGAAAUACUUUCAAAUUCAUCACAGUCUCAAUGGAAUUGGGUACUAUCGUCCUGCAACAUUGCUGAUGUCGCCACUCCGACUCCCCGAAAAUCGAUGGCCUGGGCUCAUGGAUACUCGGCCCGAGAUUUUCGGACAGGAAAGGAUCUGCAACUUUCAAAGAGUUAGUUGAUGCUGAAAUCGGAUGGUGCAACAAGAAGCCUUCCCCGAGGAAAUCAAGACCCUACGAAAUCAACAGAUGAUUACCAAUCAGCGUCGAAUUUAUGAACUGUCUCCAUACAUCGUAUCAGACGGCCUCCUACAUCUAUCGGGUCGAAUAGAUGAGACCUCAUAUUUACCACAGUCGAGACGUCGUCCAAUCCUCCUUCCGAAAGAUCACAAAGUCUCUUUUUUGAUUAUGCAUUUUCACACAAAAUACUACCAGCAGAACCAAGCAGUCAUUAUAAAUGAGAGCCGUCAAAAUUUUUGGAUAGAAAGCCGCCCAGAAGGUUGUACCAAUUCAACCUAGACGCCUCUGCCGUCUACCCAAAAUAUAUGGCUGAGAAAGCAGUGGAAAAUUGCCCAUUCUCUUAAAAUUGACGAUCUGGUACUUAUAAUGUGGCGUUCCUUACCAAGAAGAGCAUGGAAGAGAGGCCGAAUAAUCAAAGUCUUCACCGAAUAGGAUCAACAAGUACGUUCAGCCGAGGUGAAAACAGAGGAAAUUAUUUUGCACCAACCAGCAUCGAAGUUAAUACUCCUCCAAUUGUAUGAGAAUCAACUUGCCGAUAUGUUCACUAAGCCGUUGCCUGCAGUAAAAUUCAUGGAACUUCGAAAUCAAUUGGAUCUUGUGCAAGAUGACCGAACCAG
Drosophila santomea is the source of this 3655-nucleotide long non-coding RNA. RefSeq lists it as uncharacterized. The transcript has 3 exons. Lineage: Eukaryota; Metazoa; Arthropoda; Insecta; Diptera; Drosophilidae. The record is from RefSeq and is a predicted model, not a curated record.